GAAAGUGCGCUGGAAGCUUUUAGGGUUGGGACGCGCCUGCACAUGGGCUGGUUAGCUCCUGAAACUUGUUCGUUCCUGUGUGCAUAACCUGGGGUUGGGAGAUUCGGGUCAGCAGAUCUGUGAGAGCCGGGUGGGAAUUACGUUCCUACAGUGUUUGAGAAUUACACGGCCAGUUUUGAAAUCGACACACAAAGAAUAGAGUUGAGCCUGUGGGACACUUCGGGUUCUCCUUACUAUGACAAUGUCCGCCCCCUCUCUUACCCUGAUUCGGAUGCUGUGCUGAUUUGCUUUGACAUCAGUAGACCAGAGACCCUGGACAGUGUCCUCAAAAAGUGGAAAGGUGAAAUCCAGGAAUUUUGUCCAAAUACCAAAAUGCUCUUGGUCGGCUGCAAGUCUGAUCUGCGGACAGAUGUUAGUACAUUAGUAGAGCUCUCCAAUCACAGGCAGACGCCAGUGU
This 457-nucleotide small RNA is filed under the name Pan troglodytes (chimpanzee). RNAcentral describes it as "processed transcript". The record is from RNAcentral. Lineage: Eukaryota; Metazoa; Chordata; Mammalia; Primates; Hominidae.